UGGUCCUGUAAAAAACAUUGUACAUGGACGAGUCAUCCUUGACAAAACAAAAACGUCGACAUAUGGAGCAACAGCGACAGUAAAAUGUAGCCCUGGUUAUAGAGCAAAUCAAAAGAAAAUAGUUUGUUUAGAUACCGGAAAAUGGGAAACAGCAAGAUGCAAACUCAAAGACUGUGGUCCUGUUAAAAAAAUUGUAAAUGGAAAGGUCACCCUUGACAAAGCAAAAACGUCGAAGGUGGGAGCAACAGCGACUUUAAAAUGUAGCCCUGGCUUUAGACCAAAUCAAGAGAAAAUAAGUUGUUCAGAUAACGGGAAAUGGGAAGAAGCAAGAUGCAAAAUCAUAGACUGUGGGUCUCCAUUGAAUGUGACCAAUGGUAAUUUGCAAUAUAUUGCAACAACGUUUGAAUCAACCGCUUCUCUUGUCUGUGAUAGAGGAUAUGAUGGAAACGGGACAAUAAGCUGUCUUGACACAGGCAGUUGGGAAACACCACCAAGAUGUUCUA
Ruditapes philippinarum (Manila clam) is the source of this 503-nucleotide long non-coding RNA. RefSeq lists it as uncharacterized. The record is from RefSeq and is a predicted model, not a curated record. The transcript has 3 exons. NCBI's taxonomy places the organism in Eukaryota, Metazoa, Mollusca, Bivalvia, Venerida, Veneridae.